This 253-nucleotide ribosomal RNA is filed under the name uncultured bacterium. RNAcentral's name for it is "partial 16S ribosomal RNA". It matches the Rfam family "Bacterial small subunit ribosomal RNA", at positions 524 to 776 of the family's 1533-position model. The record is from RNAcentral.
UACGUAGGCAGCAAGCGUUGUUCGGAGUUAUUGGGCGUAAAGAGCGUGUAGGCGGCCAGGUAGGUCUGCUGUGAAAACUCGAGGCUCAACCUCGAGACGUCGGCGGAAACCAUCUGGCUAGAGUCCGGAAGAGGAGAGUGGAAUUCCUGGUGUAGCGGUGAAAUGCGCAGAUAUCAGGAAGAACACCCGUGGCGAAGGCGGCUCUCUGGGACGGUACUGACGCUGAGACGCGAAAGCGUGGGGAGCGAACAGG